UAUAAGACCUGCAGUUCUGCUUAGUGAGAUUUAUAGUGGAGUAUUCUAAAUAUUAUUUUUUUCCUGUCAUUAGUGAAUAGUCACUUUACUCUUCACCUCCUUUUCUCCAAGAUGUGUGUGAAUAUAGAAGCGAAUGUGGAUUCACAUUGUGGAACUGGAAGUGAAUGUGGAUUCACAGCAUGGGCUCUUGGGAAACCAGGUUCACUUUCUCAUUCCUUCUCCGUGAGAACUGCAUGAUGAUUUUCCUGCAGGUUACACAUACAGGUGAAAGUGUCCAGACAGCCUCUUAGGACUGAUGAGCAGCAGCAUGGAGAUCAAGGUCCGCAUGCAAAUAGAUUUCAUAUGGAAGAAAAAGUACUAAGGGGAAAACGAAUGCUGUGAAGUAGAAAACUAAGUAUUAGGAUCUUUACAGUACUGUUGAUUGAAAUGUUAAUGUCUCACAGGAUAUAAAAGCAGUUGACAAAUCACAAGUGGAAAGCAAUGAAAAAGAGCCUGAACAGCACACAGAGGCCAAAAAAAGUUGUGGAUACCCCAUCCUUGGAGGCAUUCAAGGACAGGUUGGAUGGGGCCAUAAUCAGACUGAGCUAGUGGGCGGCAACCAGCUCACAGCAGGGUUUGGAACUGGAUGGUCUUUAAGGUUCACUUCAGCCUGAUCCAUUCCGUGGUUAUUGUCCUAAAAUAGGAAAUAAUGGAACUUCCAUGUCAGAUUCCAAAUAAAUAUAUUGAUACCAGUAUGGCACUUGAAGAAUGAUAGUAGUUCAGUUUAUGGAGUAGGGAAGUUAUACAGAGAAUGAAUUUUUCAGCAUUUUCAAAAGGGUCAGCCAGUCUUUUCCCUCUCUGGAGCUGGGACAAAAACAAAUAACUUGAGUUAUUUCUGUAUGUUUGUCUCAUACCCUUUUGCUUUAUACUUCUCAGAAAUGGAGAUUUACGUCUGCAAGGCUUAAGUACUGUUCUCUCACUCAUUGCAUAGUAUGCUUUCACAAGGCAAAGGCGGUGCUACUUCUGGGUACAAAUGUCUGCAAUCAAGGCAGUUUCUAACUCAUGAUUGCAGAUUUCCUUGAAGUCAGCAGGUGUUCUGAGCAUCCUCUUAGAAGCUGACACAUUGAAAGAAGGUGAUGCACUGGAACAGGCAUCCACAACCUCCUUGGGCAGUGGAUACCAGUGUCUAAACAGAUUCUCUUGAGGCCAUAGAUAAAUUGAUUAUGGCAACCUGACAUUGGCACUGGAAAAGACUUGUAAUAGGUAUUAAAAGCCUUUGAUUUGAUCAAAGCUCAUUCGUUACUGUAAAAAGAAGGUGAAGCAUCCUUUUGAGUGAUUGUAACCUGAAUGUUACCAGUUGCUCUACAAGGAAACUUGCUGUGCAGAUAUUCUUAAAUGGCAUAUCUGGUGUAGAAGAUAUUUUGUGCGAUGUGUAUCAAUUAUUGAAUUAAAAUAGAGGAUACACUGAAUAAGUGAAAAAUUAAUUACUUGAUAGCUUUGUUCAGGUUACCUGCAAGGCUAAGCAAGCUUUCUGCAUAGGUUAAUGUACAUCUCCAUUCCAAUCUGUAUGGAGAUGUACAUUAAAAAAACUAUUAGUUACUUUUUAUAUUGAUGAGCUGUGGUUUAUUGCUGCCUUCCUAGUGCUAAUAGAAACCUGAAGAGAAGUAUGAGUCAUCAGAUAACUUAAUAUUUUUGUCACCAUCAUUAUAUCAUCAUAGAAUCAUAGAAUGACUUGAGCUGG
RNAcentral lists this long non-coding RNA (1720 nucleotides) under Gallus gallus (chicken). Lineage: Eukaryota; Metazoa; Chordata; Aves; Galliformes; Phasianidae. The record is from RNAcentral.